Long non-coding RNA from Acinonyx jubatus (cheetah), 711 nucleotides. RefSeq lists it as uncharacterized. NCBI's taxonomy places the organism in Eukaryota, Metazoa, Chordata, Mammalia, Carnivora, Felidae. The transcript has 3 exons. The record is from RefSeq and is a predicted model, not a curated record.
ACGGGGUGGGGGAGGGGGGCGGCGCCAACGGCUGGCCGGCGUGGACGGAAAUUAAAUGAAGGCCGGAGGGAGUAAUCCCCGCAAAGCGCAUCUCUGGCCGCCAUCCUUCCAGCUCCUGGGCUCCCGCCCCGCGCUCUUCCACCCCCCACCCCGACCCCACCCCGGCAGUGAUCGCCUCCGGCAAACUGAACCGUAACCUCGCGAAAUGGAGAAGGGAGACCAUUCCUCACAUCACUAAACAUUUUGUGUGAAGGCCAGCACCCGAAAAAUGCUUAACUACUUGGUGGGAUCAAAUUUCUCAAAGGCAGAGGUCAUCUGUCCGUCCAGGCAGCUGACGAGCCAUGAAGACUAAAUGGAACAUGGGAUCCUGGAUGGCUUCCUGAACCACAGAAGGGACAUUAGUAGGACAGCUGGUGAAACAGGAAUAGUACUGUACCAAUAUUAAUUUCCGGAUUUGGGUAACCGUACUGUGUUUAUGCAACAUCUGGAGAAUUGGGGGAGGGGUGUUUGAGACUUCUUUAGACUGUUUGCAAAAUGUUUGUAAGUUUAAAAAUUCAGAAUAAAAAGUUAAAAAAAAAAAAUUAAAGAGUAAUCAUAGAGACUGCAGAACUCGCUAAAUGAGACAACUCCCAAACUGAUCUGGCUGUGUAAUCAGCUACUAAUUACCAUUAAUGAUGGGAACUGCCUAAUUUCCAGGCAGCACAGUGAGGA